CUCAGGAGGGGGAUAACGGCUGGAAACGGCCGCUAAUACCCCAUAUGCCGAGAGGUGAAAUGAAUUUCGCCUGAGGAUGAGCUCGCGUCUGAUUAGCUAGUUGGUGGGGUAAGGGCCUACCAAGGCAUCGAUCAGUAGCUGGUCUGAGAGGAUGAUCAGCCACACUGGGACUGAGACACGGCCCAGACCCCUACGGGAGGCAGCAGUGGGGAAUUUUCCGCAAUGGGCGAAAGCCUGACGGAGCAACGCCGCGUGAGGGAUGAAGGCCUCUGGGCUGUAAACCUCUCUUCUCAAGGAAGAAGAACUGACGGUACUUGAGGAAUAAGCCACGGCUAAUUCCGUGCCAGCAGCCGCGGUAAUACGGGAGUGGCAAGCGUUAUCCGGAAUUAUUGGGCGUAAAGCGUCCGCAGGCGGUCUUGAAAGUCUGUUGUUAAAACGUGGAGCUCAACUCCAUUUCAGCAAUGGAAACUACAAGACUAGAGUGUGGUAGGGGCAGAGGGAAUUCCCGGUGUAGCGGUGAAAUGCGUAGAUAUCGGGAAGAACACCAGUGGCGAAGGCGCUCUGCUGGGCCAUAACUGACGCUCAUGGACGAAAGCCAGGGGAGCG
This 606-nucleotide ribosomal RNA is filed under the name uncultured cyanobacterium. RNAcentral describes it as "bacterial SSU rRNA". It matches the Rfam family "Bacterial small subunit ribosomal RNA", at positions 131 to 770 of the family's 1533-position model. Lineage: Bacteria; Bacillati; Cyanobacteriota. The record is from RNAcentral.